This 279-nucleotide ribosomal RNA is filed under the name uncultured bacterium. RNAcentral's name for it is "partial 16S ribosomal RNA". The record is from RNAcentral.
GGACUACUCGGGUAUCUAAUCCCUAUCACUACCCUUGCCUUCGUACCUCAGCGUCAGUUUUCUAUAGUAACAUGCUUUCGCCGCUUCGUAAUUCCCUGAGUUUCAUAGCAUUGUUACUCUCUUCUCAAAGUCUUUGUUACUCCUAUUGACUCUAGUAUAUUAAUAUCUACCCCACUUCUUAGGUGUAAAAAAUAGAUUAGUUAUACCGCCUACUUACCCUUUAGACCCAUUAAUGACGAAUAACGCUUGCCUCUCACGUAUUACCGCGGCGGCUGGCAC